RNAcentral lists this ribosomal RNA (390 nucleotides) under Triticum aestivum (bread wheat). Its description in RNAcentral is "partial small subunit ribosomal RNA". Lineage: Eukaryota; Viridiplantae; Streptophyta; Magnoliopsida; Poales; Poaceae. The record is from RNAcentral.
AUGUUUGGUCAGCGCGUGGGGUUCCUCAAGUUCAAAGCCGACAUCGUCGACGAGGAAACCAAAGCCAAGAUUCCAGGGACUGUCUUUGCAAGAGGGCCUGCUGUUGCUGUGUUGAUUCUUUUGGAGUCCAAAGGGCAAACCUAUGCUGUUCUCACUGAACAGAAACGGGUUGUUGCCCACAGCACGCUGCGGCGACGUCUUCUCCUCUCUUCGCGGGUGCUCGCCGGUCCAUGCUGCCACCCAUCAAUGUUGACAAGUCACCAUCUAAAAGUUUGUCCGAGGAGAAACUGCUGGUUUCGAACGCUAGCAAGCUCCUGGCAUGGACAAGACAGAAGUGGGAAGGCUAUUGUUGCUCCAUGCUCCCUGCUUGACUUAAAUAUAUGGACCUGA